Molecule: ribosomal RNA, 466 nt
Filed under: uncultured bacterium
Lineage: Bacteria
Description: partial 16S ribosomal RNA
Rfam family: Bacterial small subunit ribosomal RNA
Source: RNAcentral
GACGAACGCUGGCGGCGUGCUUAACACAUGCAAGUCGAACGGAAAGGCCCUGCUUGCAGGGUACUCGAGUGGCGAACGGGUGAGUAACACGUGGGUGAUCUGCCCUGCACUUCGGGAUAAGCUUGGGAAACUGGGUCUAAUACCGGAUAGGAGCGAUCUUUAGUGUGGUGGUUGGAAAGUUUUUUCGGUGUAGGAUGAGCUCGCGGCCUAUCAGCUUGUUGGUGGGGUAAUGGCCUACCAAGGCGGCGACGGGUAGCUGGCCUGAGAGGGUGUACGGCCACAUUGGGACUGAGAGACGGGCCAGACUCCGACGGGAGGCAGCAGUGGGGAAUAUUGCACAAUGGGCGCAAGCCUGAGGCAGCGACGCCGCGUGGGGGAUGAAGGCCUUCGGGUUGUAAACUCCUUUCGCUAGGGACGAAGCUUUGUUGUGACGGUACCUAGAGAAGAAGCACCGGCUAACUACGUG